This 464-nucleotide ribosomal RNA is filed under the name uncultured Archangiaceae bacterium. RNAcentral's name for it is "bacterial SSU rRNA". It matches the Rfam family "Bacterial small subunit ribosomal RNA", at positions 338 to 795 of the family's 1533-position model. Lineage: Bacteria; Pseudomonadati; Myxococcota; Myxococcia; Myxococcales; Archangiaceae. The record is from RNAcentral.
CCUACGGGGGGCUGCAGUGGGGAAUUUUGCGCAAUGGGCGAAAGCCUGACGCAGCAACGCCGCGUGAGUGAUGAAGGUCUUCGGAUCGUAAAGCUCUUUCGACUGGGACGAAAACGUUCGGGUGAACAGCCCGAGCCUUGACGGUACUGGGAGAAGAAGCACCGGCUAACUCUGUGCCAGCAGCCGCGGUAAUACAGAGGGUGCAAGCGUUGUUCGGAAUUAUUGGGCGUAAAGCGCGUGUAGGCGGUGGCGUAUGUCGCGUGUGAAAGCCCUCGGCUCAACCGAGGAAGUGCGCGCGAAACUACGUUGCUAGAGUGCCGGAGAGGGUGGCGGAAUUCCGGGUGUAGAGGUGAAAUUCGUAGAUAUCCGGAGGAACACCAGUGGCGAAGGCGGCCACCUGGACGGACACUGACGCUGAGACGCGAAAGCGUGGGUAGCAAACAGGCUUAGAUACCCCGGUAGUC